RNAcentral lists this ribosomal RNA (253 nucleotides) under uncultured bacterium. RNAcentral's name for it is "partial 16S ribosomal RNA". It matches the Rfam family "Archaeal small subunit ribosomal RNA", at positions 474 to 727 of the family's 1478-position model. The record is from RNAcentral.
UACCCGCAGCACAAGUGGUGGUCAUUAUUAUUGGGCCUAAAGCGUCCGUAGCUGGCCUGUUAGAUGCCUGGGUAAAUCGAUGCGCUUAACGCAUCGAAUUCCGGGUAGACCGGCAGGCUCGAGACCGGGAGAGGUGUAGGGUACUCGGGGGGUAGGGGUAAAAUCCUGUAAUCCUCCGGGGACGACCAGUGGCGAAGGCGCUACACUAGAACGGCUCUGACAGUGAGGGACGAAGCCCUGGGGCGCAAACCGG